This 516-nucleotide ribosomal RNA is filed under the name uncultured bacterium. RNAcentral's name for it is "partial 16S ribosomal RNA". It matches the Rfam family "Bacterial small subunit ribosomal RNA", at positions 29 to 523 of the family's 1533-position model. The record is from RNAcentral.
AACGAACGCUGGCGGCGUGCCUAACACAUGCAAGUCGAACGGGAUUAGGGGCUUGCUCCUAAUCUAGUGGCGCACGGGUGAGUAACGCGUAGAUAAUCUGCCUGAUGAUCUGGGAUAACACUUCGAAAGAGGUGCUAAUACCGGAUAAGCCCACGGGUUCUUUGGAAUCUGCGGGAAAAGGGGGGGACCUUCGGGCCUUCUGUCAUCAGAUGAGUCUGCGUACCAUUAGCUAGUUGGUAGGGGAAUGGCCUACCAAGGCGACGAUGGUUAGCUGGUCUGAGAGGAUGUUCAGCCCCACUGGAACUGAGACCAGGUCCAGACGUCUACGGGCGGCAGGAGUGGGGAAUGUUGCGCAAUGGGAGAAAGCCUGACGCAGCAACGCCGCGUGAGUGAUGAAGGCUUUCGGGUCGUAAAGCUCUGUCAAUGGGAAAGAAGUGUAUUGGAGCUAAUAUCUCCGAUACUUGACGGUACCCAUAAAGGAAGCACCGGCUAACUUCGUGCCAGCCGCCGCGGUAA